GGACGCGGGCCAGCGUAGCGCGCCGUCCGGCGACGGUACGCUCGGGCAGAUAUUGUCGCCCGUCUGCGGCCGGGUCGUCCCGAUAGAUUUCUACAACAAUAACUAUGUUACGUCGUUAUUGUUAUUAACGUUAUUAUUAUUGUUUAACGUGUACCUACUCUUAAGCCGAAACGAUAACGGUGUUCACGGUAAUCCGGUAUUUUACGAAAAUUACUAAAACGAAAUUCGACAAAUUUUCCCCGCAACGCCAUACACAUUGUUAUUAUUAUUAUUAUUAUUAUUAUUAUUAUUAUUAUUAUUAUUAUUGUUAUUGUUACCGCGACGUAACGGUGUAACGUUUUUUACCGUGUUACGAACUAUAGAAAAUAAACUAUUGCAACACCGCGCAACGUAGCACAGCGACAAUGUCCGUUAUCGAUUUCGCCAUCGAUUUAACCGUAGUACCGUAGUGCGUGUAGAAUAAUACCCGACAGUCAGUAAUAACAAUUUUGCGUUUUACCCGUCAAUAUAAUAUAAACACGCCGUCUGCGACACGUUGGCGCCGCGUCCCUUUCGGAACCGACAAAUAACGCCGCGACGAGAUUGACCACGGUUUUUUUUUUCUCUCAAAAUACGGUAUAAACUUUCAAUAAAACAAUUUAAAAAAAAACAAUUAUUUUCACAGACGCGAUAAACAACAUGUUUUAACACUGCGAUACGACUGGCUAGCGCAUUUUGUUUGCGUGCCGGCACAGUCGACAACGCGCGUGAAUUAGCUACAGUACUGCCAAACUAAUCCGUCGGGUCUCGUUCGUUCGAAAGGGACAGGUUUUUCUCAAACUGUCGCGGCUCCGUCGUUGAAACGAAAACCCGUGUGUAUCAUACCGUGACACCGUUAAUAAUAAUAAUAUAUCGUUUUAAAACAUAAGUAAUAAUUUAUCACUUAAGCAUAUAAUACUGUUUAAACUCCAAGCAAAACCGACGAUCGAUUCAGUGAUAACUCAAUGUUUUGUAUAGUUACCGGAGUGCUUAUUCCGUCAUUAACGCGCACUUCCGUCGGACAUGUACCCCACCCCGCCCCCUCUCGUUCUGGCCCGUCGACAUGAAUAGGGUUUUCGGAAAUUUCCGCCGUUUCGAUAAAUAACGUGAAAAGAAAAACAAAACAACACGAAUCGUCGUCGGAUCUCCGACCCGCCGAACCCUGUCUAAAACCUUGUUUCAGCCAUCAUCGUACGAUUUUUUUUUUUUUAUGUCAUUUCGUUUCGAUACUCUCGGUGUGUUCCGCUUUACUGUUACCAUUAUUCAACGGACAUAUUUCACUCCCACGUUUGAAACGCGAUCCGGUUAUAAUCGGUGAGCUUAACGUUUAAAUGUAUUCGUCUAUUCUCGUAAUUUUCCGACCGGCAAAACACGCUUGCGCCCGUGUCUAUCACUGUCCCGGGCAAACGUUUCUCCGUCUUGUAUUCCGAUUUCUAUUCGAUUCAUCCCGACUUUGUCCAUCCGCCUAAAUCUUAAUCUAUUCGGUAAAAGAAAAAUACUCUGAUAUGCUCGCGAACAAACGCGACGAAUCGCUCGCGACGGGCGUUUCCGCGUAAACGAUUGUUUGCUCUCCGUGUUUCUGUCAAACCGCAGUGUCAAAUGCGUCCGUUCGCAAUACGUUACAAUUAAAUUAAAUAGCGGAUGAAACGUCUCACGCACGUUCAUUGUAGGACUUACGUCUAGACCGAUUACAUGAUAAAUCACCGAGAGUGCCGAAAAACUAAAAAAAUUUAAAUCGUCAGUCACCGUGAUAUCCAACGGCGGCGGCGGCGGCGGCGGCGAUGUCCUCUUGCUCAAAUUCAAAUUCAAAAGAAAAAUAUUCAAAAAUCACACGAAUAUUUUUUUAAUAAUAAUAGUAUAACCGUUAAACACUAUUAUAUACGUAUAAACAAUAAAAUAUAGUCGAAUGAUUUUUUUUUUUUUUUUUUUUUUUUAAACUUUAACUUAUAAUACAAGCGACUUUUUUUUAAAAUUAUAACAAUAAUGUUAUACCGCGAUAUUGUCCGCGUGGUAAAAAUCUAUACUAAUUCGCUCUAUACGUCGUGCGACGUCCUAUCAAUAAUUAUUGCUUACGAAAAGUAAUUCUUACGCAAAACUAAUUCAUAAUACUAUUCAUACAAAUUCGUAUAUGCAAACGUAUUUUCAUUGUAUUUGUAACUUUUUAGACGUGUUUAGACGUAGGUACUAGGUGGUAAAAAAAAAAAAACUCAUUUUUUUUCAUUUUUUUUUUUUUUUUGUUUUGUUUUUACGCGCACGUUUCACACUGUGACAAUCGUACGGGUUCGUGUUUUAUCACAAUUAAUCCAUAUAAAAACAACAUCGCUCCCGGAAACGAAACCGAACACGUCGGGAACGGUAAAACGCUGUGUGCGAGAUUACGGGUCGAAAACGUUGAAAUCACCGACAAAAUAUUCGGAAACCGCGCGGAUUCGGCGGCGUAAACAAAAAAAAAAAAAAAAAAUACAGGCGGCUCGUUGGUCGACGAUUCGCGAUCGCCCCCGUCGGCCUGUAACGCAACGCCGUCGAAUCGCGCAUUACAUCCGCAGAGCGCGUACGACCGUAUUCGUAAUAAUAUCCCGCCGCGUUCGCCGUUCGAUGUGGACGCUUGCGAGCGUCCGGGGAGCGCACGGCGCUUAUACAAGAACAAUUGUCCGCGCGCGCACUCCCGCGUCGUUGUCGUGCAACGCGCGGUGUUCGGCGAGACCGCGAGCGCCGCCCGCGUCGCGUGUUCGCGAUUUUCACGAUCUCGUUCCCGGGUCUGUGCCGUCGCCUACAUCAUAUAGUUAUAGAUGUUUUACAAUGCUGAUGAUAUACAAUACCGCCGACGCGACACUGUAUUGUUUGCGUUGUUGUUGUUGUUACUAUGUAUAAUAUACCGUUAUACGUGUAUAUCGAUGUUAUUUUAUCGAGUUAUUUUCUUCCAUAUAAUAAUAAUUAUAAUGUUAUUACGAUUAGAAAUUUACGACUAUGUAAUAGGAAAAAAAAAAAAAAAAUUGUAUUUAGAAAAAAAAUUGUCGAAAACAUUAAAUGACAAAAUCUUGAGUCGUCUUCCGGUUCAACAAAAAAAAAUAAUCAUAAUAAUAAUAAAUGUCAAACAUAACAACAUCGAAAACAUAUGAAGAAAAAAAAAAAUAAUAAAUAAUAAUGAUACAUAGGUAAUCUAAAGCGUAGGUAAAAAAUACUAAAAUAAAGUUUAAGAUAAUAUUAAAUAUUAUGUAUAGAUUUAAAUUGUAUUUAGGUAUAUCGUAUUACAUUUAUAGAUUAUAGCCAUUUGGAAUAUAAAUGAUUUUCUUCGGUUUAUAAUGAAUUAAAAUUAAGAUACAAUAAAGGUAUAAUGAAAAAUUAAUAUUAAUAUUCCAUGUAAUAAUAAUAAUGAUAAUUGAUGAUCGUUAUAACGAACAAAAACGUUAAAUAAUAAUAAAUAAUUCAGCUCAAUUAAUUAUUGCUUUGAUAAAAUAUAAUGAAAUAAAAACAAAGAAAGUUAAAAUUUAUUAUUGUAAAUUGAAAUUACAAAUAAUUUAUAAACUAUAUACGUUUGUUUAUAGAGUUGCUAUACAUAUUAUAAUACAUUAAUUAAAAUUAAUAUUGUUUACUUGAACAAAAAAUGAUAAUAAACUAUUUUAUAAAAAUAAAAAUCGUAUUAAAGAAGAAAAUAACCGAUUACGAUUAUAAAAAAAGUUUUUAUAUUUAAAAAAAAAAAAAUUAAAAUAAAAAACCGUGUAAAUACCUAAUACUUUGUUAUUUGUACGUUGUUAUUGAAUCUUGUUAACAUAAUUAUAAUUGAUUUUAUAUUAUUACUGUAGACAUGAUAUUAUAUUAUUAUUAUUAUAGUAAAGUUAAUAAUACACAUUAUAUUAUUAUAAUGAACAAUUUAUGUAAGUACGUAUAUAUUAGGAAAAAAAAAAAAUAUUUUUUAAGCGUUUUUUUCGAUGAGUCGAAAUAAUAGAAGAUAAAAAAAAAUAAAACGAGACAAAACUCUAAUUGUAAGAGACUUAAACUGUAAUAAUAAUACAUAUGCAUGCGUAUCCGUCGCCAACCGUCAUGGCCAAUCUGGACGAAUGCGAAUUUGAUUUUAUAACAAUAUGAACACAUUCGCCUUUUACAUACGUCUGUGGCCUAACUGGUACUUUCGCGGUUUAACCGCCAGAUUCGCUGUGAAAAAAUCAUAAUUAUGUCAUCGAGAUGGCCCGUCUUAGAUCGUUGCGACGACAAUACCGUAAUAUGGCAGGUCCACUGUUCUCCCGGAAAAUUUGAAAAACCGUUAUCGGCCAUGGCGGUUGUUCUUAGACGACACGGUAACGUGUCGUAUAUUAUUAGUUCGACGAAAAACAAAAAAAAAAAAAAAAAAAAAAAAAAAAAAAUCCUAAAAAGUCUAAACUCCUCACGCGCGGGAAUAUUAUUUAUUAAUAAUUAUUACAUACCAUAAUUUAUAAUUAUUGUUCUAAAACAUUUCUUUCUUUUUUAUAAUAAUAAAUUAAUUAAAUAAUAUAAUAUUUAGCUACAUCCUUCGCAGUAUAUAUUGUAUUUGUAUUAUAUUAUAUAAUAUUAAGAGGGAGAAAAUUAUGAACAAAAAAAAAAAAAUAAUAAAAUAAAUUAGAGACAAAUAGAACGAUUUUAAUUUGUAUAAGUAAAGCAGGUUUUCGAAUACUUAAAAUUAUAUAUAAGAAUAAAAUAUAAGGAGAAAAAAAAAAUUGUCUUGAUUAAUAUUAAUAUUAUUAUUAUUAUAAGUAUAUCUAGUUGGGAAUUUUUUUUUUUUUAAUCAUUAUUCGCAUUUCGUCUAAUAAUAUAAAUUAUUCCUACUUUUUAUUCGUUUUUGGACUUAAAAGCGCGCAGAACGCUCCGACUUACUACAUACAUUAUAAAACGUCGAUAAACCUAUAUAAUCUUAAAAAAAAUACAAUUACAUAUUGUGAAAAAUUACAAAAAAAAAAAAAAUUAUAAAAAAAAAUACAUAUUAUAUGCCUAAGAAUAAUAAUUAAUAUAAUAACAAACAAAAAUAACAUAUUUACCCGAUCCCGUAACAAUAUAUUAUAAUAUAGAGACUGUAGAUUGUGAUUCGAAAUAAUAAUGAUUUGAUAAUAACGAUACUGCAAUGGUGGGGACGACGGGGUCGGUUCUUUCUCUUCCCCUCCGACACGCCCGACAGUAACAACGUGUAAAACAUCACGCCGAGUCGUGACUCGAAACAGUUACGCGCGCGACCCUUUGAAAUGGGCACGUCGCCACUCGACAUGCGCCGCGUACUAAAGUUCUCCGUCACUUUUGGCUGGCCGACAUUUCCAACGUUGUUCGCUUUGAUAUUAUUGCCGAUCAACCGAUCGGUUAUCCGGUAAACCAUACGGCCGUAUCGCGGGCCACAAUUCCGAACGACAAUAGCACGACGCCGUGAAAUAUUAUCAUCUCUUGUUUUCGAGACCGGCACCUCCAGCCGUGUCUGUGCUCCGGGUCCCCGCGCUCGCGUAUGCGCUCCCGACAACAAAAUCCUCCCGUUUCAAGCGAGUUCUCGCGGACGGCGGCUUUUCCGUCUGGCCAUUUUCGAAUACAGCCGUUAUUGCCGGUCCCGUCGCGCUCUGUCUCCGUGCGUGUCCCGGCCAUUCCGUCGUCCGCGGCGGCAUUUUCGGCGCGCCGAAAACAUCCGGUAGUACUCGGUUGCGGCUAGCCUCCCGGCGCCCAGUUCGCACACCGUUCCGCGGUCCAGGCGUACGAAAUGAUUUGCGUGCCUAACCGUUUUUUCGCGGAGUAAAGGUCCCCUGAGGCGCGGCGGAGGGGCGGGGAAGGACCGUAACCACCCGGGUCCCGCGGUGAUGUGCUCACGUCCCGAAACGACCAAAAACAAUAUUUUAUUCGUCUCAUCGUCAUUAUUAUAAAUCAUAAUUACGGUCCCGCUCAUCUAGGCGCUGUUUUCUAAAUCGUUAAGCAAAUAAUAAUAAUAAUAAUAAUAUAAUAUCGAAAAUACUCGCGAUGCGAUGUAAUACGCGAUAAUAGUGUUGCGUCGUUGAAAUUAAAUUUAAAAAUAUUUUAUAAAUCGAAUCCGUAUAACGUACAUUGAUGUACGGGUGAGUACACUCGAACACGAUACGUAACAAAAACACACACAUUUACAUGCGUUAUAAUUUAAUAAUAUCCGUUAAUUAAUAAAAUUUUAAACACGUAUAAUUAUACCCGUAUGGCCGGACUUGUUUAACCCGGAGUCGUUUAACCCGCGGUAAUCGAAAAAUACUCUAACGCUUCCUAGAAUUUCCCGUUCAAACAAUGUAAAAAAUUAAAACAAAAUGUCGAAAAUGUAGUGGAUAUCUCAAAGUUCCAUUUUUUUUUUUUUUUUUUUUUUAAUCAAGAUCGGGAUGUGUAAAUUUACUAUCGCAAAUAACGAUUGUUAAUGCUAUUGUUACCGAUACAGUUUAAUACUGCUGGAAGUACUACUCGACAAUACCACUAGUCAUUCGCUUACACAUUUCAACGAGACGCGUUAAUAACGAAUAGAAUUACAACGGAGUGAAAACUCGUUGAAACUCAAAUUUUCGAAUAUGUCGGAAUUUUCGCCGGUCUAUUCAACUCCGAGUUGACCAAGUUCCGCAGCAAUAAUUUUGCAUCCUUUAUGAUAAAACAAUAACAAUAAAAAGAAUAUCAGCUAUUUUAAAUAUUAUUGUUGAAAAUGAUCGGUUUUUUUUUUUUUUUUUUUUUACGCACUUCAGAUCGACUAUAAAAUACUAUUAUACUUACUUACUCUGCCAAUUCAUUAUUUUUUUUCUUCCUAUAGAAGACAAUCAACACUACAGUCGCAACAAUAUAAUAAUAUAUAUAUAAAUAUACGAGUACAUAAAACUAUAAUGUAUGGGAUUGUAUGGUUUUUUUUUAUCGACUCGAAAAAUGUUACAAAUAUCGUUUCUCUAACAUUUUUUUUAAUUAUUACGUUAUUGUUUGAAAAAAAAAAAAAAAAAAAAAAUUGUCGUUCAUUUAAUGUAUUAUUAUUCUAAUUCUAUAAUAAUGAUAAUUAACGUCGUGUUUCCAAUAUAAUU
This 7034-nucleotide long non-coding RNA is filed under the name Cinara cedri. Lineage: Eukaryota; Metazoa; Arthropoda; Insecta; Hemiptera; Aphididae. The record is from RNAcentral.